Molecule: non-coding RNA, 191 nt
Organism: Oryza punctata
Lineage: Eukaryota; Viridiplantae; Streptophyta; Magnoliopsida; Poales; Poaceae
Source: Rfam
UUUAAGUGUAGUCAUAAGUUUCUGUGUCCAACUUUAAUCGUCCGUCUUAUUUAAAUUUUUUAUGAUUAGUAUUUUUAUUAUUAUUAGAUGAUAAAACAUGAAUAGUACUUAUGUUUUUUAAUUUUUUUCAAAAAAAUUUAUAUAAGAUGGAUGAUUAAAGUUGAACACGAAAACUUAUAGCUAUGAUUAAA